This 319-nucleotide long non-coding RNA is filed under the name Pongo abelii (Sumatran orangutan). Its description in RNAcentral is "lincRNA". The record is from RNAcentral. Lineage: Eukaryota; Metazoa; Chordata; Mammalia; Primates; Hominidae.
GUUCCAGGAGGGUGGCGCACCCGGAAAGGGCAUGGAAGCUCCCCGCCCCUUCCCACAGACCUUCCCCUAUCCAUCUCUUCAUCUGUUGUUCAUCGAUAGCCUUUGUAAUGUCCUUAAUAGUAAACCGGAAAACAUAUACACCUAACAGCAUGGUAAGGAAGCCCCAGAAGGAUGUUUCUAAAGACCAUGAGGGAGUCUGAAGCCUGAAAUCAUGCCAAGGACUCUCUGCUUCUCUUUUGCUUGGGGUGUCUGUCUGAUGCUGCCACAACCAGUUGAAACGUAUAACAUUAACAAUAAAAAUUAGUUUUUUUGUAACUAA